GCACGGAGGGACAAGACCACCACCUCUGUCUGGAGCUGGGCCAAGCUGCCAUUCCGCAUCCCUUCCAGCCUUUCGAGCCGCCAUUUCCCAAAGUUCUGGUACAAGAGGAGCCGAGCCAUACUUACUUUCUGCGCCUGACUUACUUCCCUUAGCAUCGUGGUCUCAGGUCCUCUUUGUGGCCCCAACAUCUGGCAAAUCCAAGACUUUCCUCUGGCUCUCUCCUUCAGC
Long non-coding RNA from Fukomys damarensis (Damara mole-rat), 228 nucleotides. RefSeq lists it as uncharacterized. NCBI's taxonomy places the organism in Eukaryota, Metazoa, Chordata, Mammalia, Rodentia, Bathyergidae. The transcript has 3 exons. The record is from RefSeq and is a predicted model, not a curated record.